This 255-nucleotide ribosomal RNA is filed under the name uncultured bacterium. RNAcentral describes it as "partial 16S ribosomal RNA". It matches the Rfam family "Bacterial small subunit ribosomal RNA", at positions 113 to 354 of the family's 1533-position model. The record is from RNAcentral.
CGACGUGGAGAACCUGCCGUAUACUGGGGGAUAACACUUAGAAAUAGGUGCUAAUACCGCAUAAGCGCGCAGCUUCGCAUGAAGCAGUGUGGAAAACAAAAAGCUAAAGCUUUUGGUGGUAUACGAUGGAUCCGCGUCUGAUUAGCUAGUUGGCGGGGUAAAGGCCCACCAAGGCGACGAUCAGUAGCCGGCCUGAGAGGGUGAACGGCCACAUUGGGACUGAGACACGGCCCAAACUCCUACGGAAGGCAGCAG